Molecule: long non-coding RNA, 1668 nt
Filed under: Nicotiana tabacum (common tobacco)
Lineage: Eukaryota; Viridiplantae; Streptophyta; Magnoliopsida; Solanales; Solanaceae
Description: long non-coding RNA (NTAB_LNC009910)
Source: RNAcentral
UUGGUAGUGUGGAACUUAAACUGAUAAAGGAGAGAUAACUAACCAAACCCCGAAAUACAGGCAACAUGACACGGACAAUACUGCAAUAUGCAUCUUUGAGGACAUGAUUCUAAUUGAGUGGUGGUGUUUCUUCCGUGCUUUUGCUCGUAGAACCUGAUGAUGGUAGGGUUUUUUGGGUGAGACAUGGCAAUAAAAUGGGUAGAACAUAACCUGCAAGCAUCGUUCAAUAAGGACUCACUGGAUAAGGUAAAACUUCACAGUAUUAGGCAGAGUGUAUCCAAGUUUAGUACUUAGUAAUAUUGGCACAAACUCACUUCUUUUUUUUUAAUAUCCAGCAGCUGAUUUUGACCUAAAGCAAAGAGAGCCAAGCCACAAGCUGUUAGAUAUAGCUCAGUCUUUGCCUUAAAGCCCAGGAAUUCCAGCUUGCAAGCAGCCACUUCUGAACAUCGAGAGCAUCGAGACUCCUGCCUGCUCGUUCCAAAAACUAGGUACGCUCUCCUUGCCUGAACAUAUGAUGAUUGCAGCACUUAAUACUAUUCUCUUUGGUAGCCUGCUUUGAAUUGUAAAGAGAAAAGAUAGAUAUGAUGUGACUGUACUUCGGAUGUUUCAGUGGUUUUCACAUUGUGAUUGUUGUUAAUGCCAGCAAUCAAUUCCUUUUAUUGGUGUUAGGAAUUGCUUCAUAAGCUUGUAAUGAGCAUUCCAUGGGUUUUAGUAUUAGAACAGUUAUUAAAGUAAAUUGUAUUUUGCAGAUGAAGUGAAGUGCUCUGGAUAUGAGAAAAAUUAAGCAUUUAACCAUGAGAGACCAGUGUUCAAAUUCCAGCUGAGCCAAAAAAUCGCUAGGUGACUGCUGCUCAUCUAUCUAAGCCUUGGUGAGCAAAGUUACUCGGUAGUGUACUAGUGGAUGGUAGUAGGUAGCCGGUGGAAUACUCAGCUGUCGAGAUACGCAAGCUGGCUUGAACACCACAAUUAUCAACAUAGAGGAAAAAAGAGAGAAGAAAUAUGCACUUGAAACACAAGAGGCCAUAGAGAAUUACAGUAGUAACUAUGCGGUGAGAAGAAUGACGAGAAAGAUACUGUAAUCGAGAGGUAAACUAGAUGACGUUUCCUUGGCAACGACAAUCUAUUUUCUUCAUCUAAGGGUAGGUCCUUAACGUGAGCUGUAUAGUGUACUAAUCCUUGAUCACAUCUGAGAAUGUGUCAAGUGGACUGUUGUAGCCAUGUCUUUGUAUAGUGGUUGAUUGGUUGAAGAGUUAUGAACUAAGAAGGAAAGUAUGAAAGAACGGAGCAUGGUAAGGCAAAAUGUACCAACUUCUUGUAUCCUCUCCACUCUAACCAAUUGACCUCGAAAUUUUGUAGUGUAGGAAAAUAAUCUGGGAGCACUGUAGCUUACUGCAUAUAUAUAAGAAAGCUAGCAUGUGCAGCCCCUGAAAAAACCUACUGUAUUGUUUGGCUCUUCAUGCAAAAUGCUGAAAGUGGUCAUUUUCUUCCAUUCUUUUUCUUUUGCUUCAAGCUGGAUAUAUCUAGAUGGUUGAUUAAGCAGCUUUUUACUAACAGAUUCCUUUGAAAUAUAUAGGUUCAGAAUUUAAAAAGUAGAGGUACUGCACAUGUUAAUUUGACAGUUGCUUGAUGGUAAAAAAAGGUUUUCUUAAAUCGCUUAAGUGACUUUCU